UCGGGGCGCACCAGGCGCGAAAACUUUACAAUGCUGGCAACAGCGAUAAGGGGACCUCGAGUGCCAGGAUACAAUCUUGGCUGUCGCGAUGCCUAAAAAGCAUUGCAUAGCAAGGGCCGGGCAAGACCGGUGCCAGCCGCCGCGGUAACACCGGCGGCUCGAGUGGUAACCGCUAUUAUUGGGUCUAAAGGGUCUGUAGCCGGCCGGAUAAGUCUCUUGGGAAAUCCAGCAGCUCAACUGUUGGGCUUUCAGGAGAUACUGUUCGGCUCGAGACCGGGAGAGGUGAGAGGUACUUCAGGGGUAGGGGUGAAAUCUUGUAAUCCUUGAAGGACCACCAGUGGCGAAGGCGUCUCACCAGAACGGAUCUGACGGCAAGGGACGAAAGCUAGGGGCACGAACCGGAUUAGAUACCCGGGUAGUCCUAGCCGUAAACGAUACUCGCUAGGUGUCAGCCACGGUGCGACCGUGGUUGGUGCCGUAGGGAAGCCGUGAAGCGAGCCACCUGGGAAGUACGGCCGCAAGGCUGAAACUUAAAGGAAUUGGCGGGGGAGCAC
RNAcentral lists this ribosomal RNA (554 nucleotides) under uncultured archaeon. Its description in RNAcentral is "bacterial SSU rRNA". It matches the Rfam family "Archaeal small subunit ribosomal RNA", at positions 325 to 879 of the family's 1478-position model. The record is from RNAcentral.